RNAcentral lists this ribosomal RNA (391 nucleotides) under Priestia megaterium. RNAcentral describes it as "bacterial SSU rRNA". It matches the Rfam family "Bacterial small subunit ribosomal RNA", at positions 980 to 1334 of the family's 1533-position model. Lineage: Bacteria; Bacillati; Bacillota; Bacilli; Caryophanales; Bacillaceae. The record is from RNAcentral.
CUUGACAUCCUCUGACAACUCUAGAGAUAGAGCGUUCCCCUUCGGGGGACAGAGUGACAGGUGGUGCAUGGUUGUCGUCAGCUCGUGUCGUGAGAUGUUGGGUUAAGUCCCGCAACGAGCGCAACCCUUGAUCUUAGUUGCCAGCAUUUAGUUGGGCACUCUAAGGUGACUGCCGGUGACAAACCGGAGGAAGGUGGGGAUGACGUCAAAUCAUCAUGCCCCUUAUGACCUGGGCUACACACGUGCUACAAUGGAUGGUACAAAGGGCUGCAAGACCGCGAGGUCAAGCCAAUCCCAUAAAACCAUUCUCAGUUCGGAUUGUAGGCUGCAACUCGCCUACAUGAAGCUGGAAUCGUAGUAAUCGCGUCAGCUGCUGAAACUCAACAAUUGU